UACGGAGGGGGCUAGCGUUGCUCGGAAUUACUGGGCGUAAAGGGCGCGCAGGCGGAACACAAAGUCAGGCGUGAAAGCCCCGGGCUUAACCUGGGAACUGCGUUUGAUACUUGUGAUCUAGAGUCUCGGAGAGGGUGGUGGAAUUCCCAGUGUAGAGGUGAAAUUCGUAGAUAUUGGGAAGAACACCAGUGGCGAAGGCGGCCACCUGGACGAGUACUGACGCUGAGGCGCGAAAGCGUGGGGAGCAAACAGG
RNAcentral lists this ribosomal RNA (253 nucleotides) under uncultured bacterium. RNAcentral describes it as "partial 16S ribosomal RNA". It matches the Rfam family "Bacterial small subunit ribosomal RNA", at positions 524 to 776 of the family's 1533-position model. The record is from RNAcentral.